UUGCCCGUUGCCCUAAAACUAAUAUUAAAGAACACUGGGGGUUUGAUAUCAAGUCUCUUUCCUUCUACAGAUUUGUCUGAUUUAUUCUUGGAGAUUUCUGAAUGGAAAAUGACUGUCAAGUUCCUGAUUAUCUCAUUUGUUAAACUGUGGAAUCUAUGUAGAAUCUAUGUACCAACAGAAAAGCGAUGACAACCAGUCUCCUCCAGCAUUCAAUGGAGUACUAAUGUUCAGAGAAAAAGAGACGUGGCACCACACCAAUAUUCCUGCUCAUUAGUGAAAAUCCUGUUCCUAGGGAAACUGUGCUGUUGGACGCAUCUCUUGAUUAGCUUCAGAGCAACUGAAAUGGUUCUGUGUCUCUGGCUUACUACUUGUAAGGUGAACCUGGGAUUCUUUUAAGGGCAAACGAAAGUCAAGAAAUUAAAUAGGAAUAUGAAUCUCCAGAAUUUCUAUUAGCAAUGAUGAGAUUCAGUUUUUUGCUUGCAUCCCUCAUGUGAUCAUCUGCAUGAAAAAGGGUGGGAUGCUGGAUGGUGACAAAGUGGUCCCAAAUCUCAAGGCUUUUUCCACCAAUUGAUCAAGCUGAACUCAAGUGGAGAACUGCUAUUUGGAGUUCUAUUUCUUGGGUGACCAUGAGUGAGAGGUGGUGCAAUGCAUAACUAAUGACAUAGAUACAAUGCAACAGAUUUAUCUUUAUACCACUCAAGUGGAACAGCUGUGAAAAAGACAGGGGUCCUAACCUCACAAGGUACAUAAAUGAUAAAUGUGAAAUAAUAUUUUCUCUCGCACUGUAUUCUUUCAUGUUUGAUAAUGCUGUAUAGAGUGGCUGUUAUCUUAAGAUCUCUAUCACAAUACUGUAUACUGCGUUUUAUUGUUAAGUAAAUAACUAUGCUACCUUCAUAUAUUUAGUGCAUUUGUUUCUUAAAUUAAAAUGCUAAAAUUCUCUUAAAAUACCUACAAAGUGAGUAGCAUCUUUUCAAUGCUAUUUGUUAUGGUGAAGCCUAAUGAUAUUUCUUAUUCAGAGUCUGUAACCAUUUGAUGUGAAAACAAAUAAUUAAAAUAAAUUAUGCCCUUAGAGUCUACAAACUAAGGAGACAAAAAUAGCUAUCUGAGAGAGAGGUUAAUACAGGGAUAUCUGUUGACAGUACUAUGAAGACCUCAAAGGGAUACAUACAUUUUUCUGCCUGAAAUGAUGUGCGCAAGGAAUUCCAUAUCAGAUUAAGCUUAGUGAGCUGGAUUUCUGGUAAUAGAUUUUUAGAAAAAAAUGUGGUUACCCAGGGGUGUUGUUUACUUCCCAACU
Coturnix japonica (Japanese quail) is the source of this 1294-nucleotide long non-coding RNA. RefSeq lists it as uncharacterized. NCBI's taxonomy places the organism in Eukaryota, Metazoa, Chordata, Aves, Galliformes, Phasianidae. The record is from RefSeq and is a predicted model, not a curated record.